CGUACCCUGAUUGAGAACCGUCGGAACACAGUGAGAACGUCCAAACAAAGACAAGAAGUACACCAAAUAAAUCAUUCAGUAUCCAAUCUAAACAGACGGGAAGUGUCUGUGCAAACAAAUCUUCCUUUGAGGGGAAAAGAGGAGGGAGGGGACCCUUUGCAGCUUCCUGAAAGAUAUGUAAGGAAUCAUGACGAGAGAUGCAAUGCAAAAGGGGACAAAGAAAGGUCAAGAAGCUGGAUCUUCAAUGCAAAGGCUGGGGCUUCUUUCAGCUAAUCGCAAUUAUUUAGCAAAUGCAUGUGUCACCACGCGCCUCCGCCUCCGUUUGCGGCCAUUAGUCCCUCCUGAAGCUGACAAUGGAAAACUACUCCUAUAAACUAGUUCCACAGGCUGCAAAUCAACAGACCUAUGAAAAUUUUGACUGCAACCACCACCGUAUGCGCACUGCGCCCUCACGCGACAGUGUAGCAUCUAUGGGAUCUGUCCACGCGCUGCAUGAAGUGUCGAAAUGAUUGGUUUUCCAGAUAUGGAGUAAUGGCAGGUACAGGAGCAGUACUUGAAGAUGAAAAUGGAGGAAAUGGCACACACCGACUUCGCAAAGAUAAAAAAGGGAUUCCAGCACCCUGGAAGAAGCUUUUGAGGAUGAAGUCCUCAGCUUCUCUUCAUGGCAUGACUCUACGAGGCCUCCGCAUUGUAACAAUGUUUUUUCUUUUUCUUGUUUAAUGCACUUAGUAGAAUGAAGAUCACUGUAUAAUUUUUUAUUUUUUUUAUAAA
Molecule: long non-coding RNA, 771 nt
Organism: Alnus glutinosa
Lineage: Eukaryota; Viridiplantae; Streptophyta; Magnoliopsida; Fagales; Betulaceae
Exons: 2
Source: RefSeq, a predicted model, not a curated record